AUGUACCACGCGUACACUCCGGACCCACCUGACGACUGCCCGCUACGUUUUGUUAGCC
This 58-nucleotide small RNA is filed under the name Xanthomonas fragariae. RNAcentral describes it as "sX9 sRNA". It matches the Rfam family "Xanthomonas sRNA sX9". The record is from RNAcentral. Lineage: Bacteria; Pseudomonadati; Pseudomonadota; Gammaproteobacteria; Lysobacterales; Lysobacteraceae.